GACGAACCUUGCGAACGUUGUUCGGAAUCACUGGGCUUAAAGGGCGCGUAGGCGAGCCAGCAAGUCCGGGGUGAAAGCCCACGGCUUAACCGUGGAAGAGCCUUGGAUACUGCUAGUCUGGAGGAAGGUAGGGGCAUGUGGAACUUCCGGUGGAGCGGUGAAAUGCGUAGAUAUCGGAAGGAACGCAGGUGGCGAAAGCGACGUGCUGGACCUUUACUGACGCUGAGGCGCGAAAGCUAGGGGAGCAAACGGG
Molecule: ribosomal RNA, 253 nt
Filed under: uncultured bacterium
Lineage: Bacteria
Description: partial 16S ribosomal RNA
Rfam family: Bacterial small subunit ribosomal RNA
Source: RNAcentral